CCACAAAAGGAAGAGGGAGCCUGAGAAACGGCUACCACAUCCAAGGAAGGCAGCAGGCGUGCAAAUUACCCACUCCCGGCUCGGGGAGGUAGUGACGAAAAAUAACAGAUACGGGACUCUUUUGAGGCUCCGUAAUUGGAAUGAGCGCACUUUGAAUCCUUUAAAAA
This is a long non-coding RNA of Stegastes partitus (bicolor damselfish), 167 nucleotides long. RefSeq lists it as uncharacterized. The record is from RefSeq and is a predicted model, not a curated record. Lineage: Eukaryota; Metazoa; Chordata; Actinopteri; Pomacentridae. The transcript is spliced from 3 exons.